RNAcentral lists this non-coding RNA (887 nucleotides) under Solanum lycopersicum (tomato). Its description in RNAcentral is "Eukaryotic large subunit ribosomal RNA". It matches the Rfam family "Eukaryotic large subunit ribosomal RNA", at positions 2389 to 3401 of the family's 3401-position model. Lineage: Eukaryota; Viridiplantae; Streptophyta; Magnoliopsida; Solanales; Solanaceae. The record is from Rfam by way of RNAcentral.
CAGAAUUAGCAGGGAAAGAGGACACAAUUGAUCUUGACUCAGGGCUGUCUUUGGGAAAUUAAUUGCGAGGAUUCGUAUAAGUGGAAGUUGAAAGGUGAAAGUGAAAUACCACUAUUUUUCUGUAGGUCAAUUCGGGUGGAAGAUAUGGUCUACUGGGAGUUUUGCUGGGGAGGCACAUGUGUUAAAAGAUAAUACAUCUAUCCUAAGAUGUCCUCAACGCGAACAGAAAUCUUGUGUGGAACAGAAGGGUAAAAGCUCAUUUAUUUCUUAUUUCCACUAUGAAUACAAACUGUGAAAGUGUGUCCUAACGUUCUUUAGACCUUCAGAAUUCAAAGCUAGAGGUUUCAAAAUUGUUACUAGUGGGAUAACUUGCUUGUGGCAACCAAUGAUUCAUAGUGAAGUUGUUUUUUGAUCCUUUAAUGUUGGAUAUUCCUAUUAGUGUGAAGCAGAGUUCACCAAGUGUUGAAUUGUUCACCCCCCAAUUAGAAACGUGAGCUUAGUUUAGACCGUUUUGAGAUAGGUUAGUUUUACCCUAGUGAUUACAAUGUUUCCAUGGUAAUUUAACCUAGUACGAAAGGAAAUAUUGAUAAACACAAUUGGUCAUCGAACUUAGCUGAAAAGCCAAUGGCGUGAAGCUAAUGAGUGUUGGAUUAUAAGUGAAUGCAUCUAAGACAAAAUAUAGGCUAGAAGUGAUCCGAUUGUUGACCCGCAAGGCCACAUGUCUUUGUCUAAGUUGUCACGAUGGUAACCGCCUUGAAAUAUAAUUUCCAUUGAGUUGCGAGUAUAAUCUUUUGAAGACGACUUAAAAAUGUGAUAGGUUAUUGUAAGUGGCAGAGUGUCCUUGCUACCAUGAUCCAAUAAGAUUCACGUUUUUGUCACUUUGAUUC